GAGGGUUUGGCUCAGUGGUAAAGCCCUUGCCUAGCCUGUGCAAGUCCCUGGGUUUCAUCCCCAGAACUGCUA
This 72-nucleotide transfer RNA is filed under the name Marmota monax (woodchuck). Its description in RNAcentral is "tRNA.Undet". The record is from RNAcentral. Lineage: Eukaryota; Metazoa; Chordata; Mammalia; Rodentia; Sciuridae.